This is a long non-coding RNA of Dreissena polymorpha, 449 nucleotides long. RefSeq lists it as uncharacterized. NCBI's taxonomy places the organism in Eukaryota, Metazoa, Mollusca, Bivalvia, Myida, Dreissenidae. The record is from RefSeq and is a predicted model, not a curated record. The transcript is spliced from 3 exons.
UGUUCAUUCCUUUUUGUCAUAAAUAAGUAUGUACAAUUAAACAUUAUAUCACAUGAUCAAAAUUAAAGAAUCGAUUCCUGCAUGUAUAAAGAUCGCUGGGUUCUGGUCGAUACUGAAUCUUAUUUAAUUAAUACGAGGUAACAUUUAAUUUAUAGUUUAGAACUUAUAAACAAAGUCUGAAUGUGACACGUUUGUAAUGUCGGUUGUAUAAGUGCUGUAAUAAAUGGCAUAGUUAUAUGUAAAGUAGGCAACUGUCUAGGAUUCUUUACAAUUCUGUAUUCCUAUCAUAAUUGUAGAUAACAAGUCGAAUGGAAUUGUGAGAGCUCAAAAGCGGCCAUCUGAAGAACCAGAUAACAAGUGGAAUGGAAUUUUGAGAGCUCGAACGCGGUCAUCUGAAGAACCAGAUGUUAACUACAAAAGAAAAAGAUCGUCAAGACAUCUUGAGACAG